Long non-coding RNA from Apteryx owenii (little spotted kiwi), 1997 nucleotides. Lineage: Eukaryota; Metazoa; Chordata; Aves; Apterygiformes; Apterygidae. The record is from Ensembl.
AGCCAUCAAUUGAUCUUGACUGAAAUCUAAUGCAACUGCAAAGUGGCAGAAAAAGAGGUCAUUAAUCAGUACAGAGCCUGGGGUCAAACAGUCUUCCCAACUUGCUCUAUGGGACAAAUCCCUGCAAUGCUGGAGUCAUUUGGAAGAACAGAAGUUCCUGGAAAGCUCUUCAUUUUAUUUCUGUGAAAAUACAGGCCAUUAUUUAAAACUGUUUUAUUUAAAACAUUUUUAUUUCAGCUUCAUUUGUGGGAUCCACAUUUGUGCUUCUUUACAAUAACACCAGUGUAUAAGCCAAAGGAAACUUGUAAGUUCAUAGUUGAUCCUUCCUGUUCCCAUAGCUAGGAGGAAGCACUCCAGAAGCUUGGCACCAAGAGGGAGGAGUAAGCGUGUAUUCUGGAAAAGCUGAGCUGAGGCUCAGGGCAUGUGUGGUGGGGGAAAGGCAGUUUGUCAGGGUUACUGAUUUCUUCCUGUAGCUGUUUGGAGUUAAUGAGCUGCUCUGCUGUGUAUGGCACCAGGAGCACAGUGAAUCCCACGCAAGCACAUCAAUCUCCAUGUGAGAAGAGUGCGCAUGUGCCUGCCUGCACCAGCGCUGCCUGCCCAAAGGCUGCCGUGAAGCACCACCUGCUGACGGACUCUGGGAGCUGGAAAAAUGCAAACAGUUGUGAAACGUGGUUCAGCUAGUAUUAAUGUACACACGGCCUGCCUAGAUGUAAUUGCACGGGUGUGGAAGCGAUAGCCUGAAGCAGGAGGAAGUGUUGACCAUGUUGGAAUGAAGAUUUAUAAUCCAGCAAGUGUCCAAUGCCACCUACUACAACCCAGCAUGGAGAUGGAGCUGAACAUCUCUGGAAGGAUACAUAUCCUGGCCUCCUCACGCGGGGAGACGAUCAGCAUGUGCACGUGCAGAACAGAGAGAGAAACAGAAUUAGGUCGGUAUGAGAUGCGCAAGUCAAAGAGAGAGAAUUGCUGAGUUCACCACUGUCUCCUGAAAAAGAACCAGAAAACCACAUUGCAACUGAAACUAGCUGCAUUAACAUGGGUGCAGGCGGUCAGUGCUACAGCUUUUCAUGCAAACCUCCCGCUGUAAGAGCUGCCUUCCCUAAAGCACUGAGGAAGCACAAGGCAUCCAGGCUGGUACAGCUACUCCUCCGGAAAGCUUUGCUUGUAUGCGGUUACAGUGGCAUGAAUUAUUGAUACUUCUGUUAGAGCUGGCUGUGCACACAGGAAUUUGUAAUGUUUCCCCAUGUCACACUGUGAACGCACUCUGGGGUCACAUAAGGGGUUGAGUUUAAGACCCUUUUACUUGUGUGAUUGCGACAUUGAUUUAGCCAUUUCAGGACUAGGGCUGCAAAUUUAACUAAAUUACGGUGGAAACAGCUCUUUCAUAACAAAACAGUCCCAGGUUGGAAACAGCUAAGAUGGAGGGGCGAGGAGAAGGUAAUCUGGGGGAUAGUUCUCUCUGUGUGUUUUCACGGUGUCAGCACAAAGAUGGUGAGAAGACUUCCAGGAAGUUUUAAGCGUUCUUUGCCCUGACCUCACGCGCCAGCAUUUCCAACGGCAUCAGCCAGCCUUGGCUACCACCAUGCUUAGCACUUUGGGAGAUUGCAUUAAUAAUGUCCGUUUCUAAGACAACAGCCUUGCAAUUUAGAAAGGACUGAGUUAAAAAUGUGUGUUUACAUACAAACAUUUUACACAGAUGUAUAUAUGUAUUUAUAUACAUAUGUAAAAAGAAUUAUGUCAGACUAAAAGAGUCACUCAGCGGUGGAGAGACAGAAACCAUCUGAACAAGGACGAUGCCCUGACAGAAGCAAUCUGGUCUCCAUAGAGCUUGGCCAGAGACUUUAGGAGAAAUAGGAGCAAAUUCACUGAACACUCCCUAAGAGAUCAUACCCGCGAGCUGCUCCAAAACAUAGGGAAAGCUCAUACUGACUUCCCUGGGUGCUGGAUCCUACAGGUACAGCCUCACGUGGACAAGCCUGAGCCAAGACUCCCACCUCUGA